This 253-nucleotide ribosomal RNA is filed under the name uncultured bacterium. RNAcentral's name for it is "partial 16S ribosomal RNA". It matches the Rfam family "Bacterial small subunit ribosomal RNA", at positions 524 to 776 of the family's 1533-position model. The record is from RNAcentral.
UACGGAGGAUCCAAGCGUUAUCCGGAAUCAUUGGGUUUAAAGGGUCCGUAGGCGGUUUGGUAAGUCAGUGGUGAAAGCCCAUCGCUCAACGGUGGAACGGCCAUUGAUACUGCCAGACUUGAAUUAUUAGGAAGUAACUAGAAUAUGUAGUGUAGCGGUGAAAUGCUUAGAGAUUACAUGGAAUACCAAUUGCGAAGGCAGGUUACUACUAAUGGAUUGACGCUGAUGGACGAAAGCGUGGGUAGCGAACGGG